This 224-nucleotide ribosomal RNA is filed under the name uncultured bacterium. Its description in RNAcentral is "partial 16S ribosomal RNA". It matches the Rfam family "Bacterial small subunit ribosomal RNA", at positions 118 to 334 of the family's 1533-position model. The record is from RNAcentral.
UACGUGACCUGACCUGGAGUGGGGGAUACCGGUCCGAAAGGGCCGCUAAUACCGCAUGUGGUCGUCGGGGGUGCCCGAUGAAGGAAGGCUUCUCGCAAGAGGAGUCGCUCUGGGAGGGGCGUGCGGCCGAUUAGCUAGCUGGUGGGGUAACGGCCUACCAGGGCGACGAUCGGUAGCUGGUCUGAGAGGAUGGUCAGCCACACUGGGACUGAGAUACGGCCCAG